RNAcentral lists this ribosomal RNA (382 nucleotides) under uncultured marine Chaetocerotaceae. RNAcentral describes it as "SSU rRNA". It matches the Rfam family "Eukaryotic small subunit ribosomal RNA", at positions 587 to 972 of the family's 1831-position model. Lineage: Eukaryota; Bacillariophyta; Thalassiosirophyceae; Chaetocerotales; Chaetocerotaceae. The record is from RNAcentral.
AGCUUCAGUAGCGUAUAUUAAAGUUGUUGCAGUUAAAAAGCUCGUAGUCGCAUUUCUGGCGAGAGGAUCCGGUCCGACCUUUUGGUGGGUUCUUGGGUCUCUUUCGCCAUCCUUGAGUGGUCCGUUCUGGCAUUAGGUUGUCGGAGCGUCAGCCGCUCAUCGUUUACUGUGAGAAAAUUAGAGUGUUCAAAGCAGGCUUAUGCCGUUGAAUAUAUUAGCAUGGAAUAAUAAGAUAGGACCUCGGUACUAUUUUGUUUGUUUGCGCACCAAGGUAAUGAUGAACAGGGACAGUUGGGAGUAUUUGUAUUUCGUUGUCAGAGGUGAAAUUCUUAGAUUUACGAAAGACAAACUACUGCGAAAGCAUUUACCAAGGAUGUUUUCA